RNAcentral lists this long non-coding RNA (296 nucleotides) under Elaeis guineensis (African oil palm). RNAcentral's name for it is "long non-coding RNA (EGUI_LNC035190)". The record is from RNAcentral. Lineage: Eukaryota; Viridiplantae; Streptophyta; Magnoliopsida; Arecales; Arecaceae.
AGCUGGGCAUCAUAUGCUGUAGCUAUGCCCCCGUGAUGCUUUUUGAUUGGCGUCACAUUCUACUGGCUCAAAGAGAGAUUUUUUACAUCCACUUAUAGGUAAAAUAAAUUAUAUUAUGAAUAUUUAAUUUAUAUAAUAUUCUUCUAAUAUUUAUUAUUGACAGGGUGUAUUCGACAUCAUUGAUUUUGAGGAGGAUCGCAUGCGGCGAGCCGUGGACACUCAUUUAUCAUUAUGUUUCAAGGAUCAUCGCUAUCACAUGCAUCAGCAUUGGUACCAUAUGGUGCAGGAUCAUGGGG